Molecule: ribosomal RNA, 497 nt
Filed under: uncultured bacterium
Lineage: Bacteria
Description: partial 16S ribosomal RNA
Rfam family: Bacterial small subunit ribosomal RNA
Source: RNAcentral
GAUGAACGCUGGCGGCGUGCUUAAUACAUGCAAGUCGAGCGAACAGACGAGUAGCUUGCCCGUCUGACGUUUGCGGCGGAAGGGUGAGUAACCCGUGGAUAACCUACCUAUAAGACUGGGAUAAUAUCGCGAAACCGUAGCUAAUACCGGAUAAUUUGUUUAAUCGCAUGGAUCAGUAGUGAAAGACGGCUUUGCUUUCACUUAUCGAUUGAUCCGCGGCGCAUUAGCUCGUUGCUAAGGUAGCGGAGUGCCAAGGCAAGGUUGCGGAGCCGACCUGAGAGGAUGGUCAGCCAGACUGGGACGGAGACCCGGUCCAGGCUCCUACGGGAGGGGGCAUUACGGAAUCGUCCGGCAUGGGCGAAAGACUGAGGGAGCAACACCAAGUGAGUGAUGAAGGUAUUCGGAUCGUAAGAUUAUGUUUUUAGGAAAGAAAAAUUGUGUAAGUAACUAUGAACGUCUUGACGGUACCUAAACAGAAAGCCACGGCUAACUACGUG